Molecule: ribosomal RNA, 449 nt
Filed under: Bacillus thuringiensis
Lineage: Bacteria; Bacillati; Bacillota; Bacilli; Caryophanales; Bacillaceae
Description: bacterial SSU rRNA
Rfam family: Bacterial small subunit ribosomal RNA
Source: RNAcentral
UCAGGAUGAACGCUGGCGGCGUGCCUAAUACAUGCAAGUCGAGCGAAUGGAUUGAGAGCUUGCUCUCAAGAAGUUAGCGGCGGACGGGUGAGUAACACGUGGGUAACCUGCCCAUAAGACUGGGAUAACUCCGGGAAACCGGGGCUAAUACCGGAUAACAUUUUGAACCGCAUGGUUCGAAAUUGAAAGGCGGCUUCGGCUGUCACUUAUGGAUGGACCCGCGUCGCAUUAGCUAGUUGGUGAGGUAACGGCUCACCAAGGCAACGAUGCGUAGCCGACCUGAGAGGGUGAUCGGCCACACUGGGACUGAGACACGGCCCAGACUCCUACGGGAGGCAGCAGUAGGGAAUCUUCCGCAAUGGACGAAAGUCUGACGGAGCAACGCCGCGUGAGUGAUGAAGGCUUUCGGGUCGUAAAACUCUGUUGUUAGGGAAGAACAAGUGCUAGUU